ACGGUUAUAAAUCAACAUAUUGAUUUAUAAGCAUGGAAAACCCCUGAGUGAAACAACGAAUUGCUGUGUGUAGUCUUUGCCCAUCUCCCACGAUGGGCUUUUUUUUAA
Molecule: non-coding RNA, 108 nt
Filed under: Escherichia coli
Lineage: Bacteria; Pseudomonadati; Pseudomonadota; Gammaproteobacteria; Enterobacterales; Enterobacteriaceae
Description: antisense sRNA RprA
Rfam family: RprA RNA
About the family: Translational regulation of the stationary phase sigma factor RpoS is mediated by the formation of a double-stranded RNA stem-loop structure in the upstream region of the rpoS messenger RNA, occluding the translation initiation site. Clones carrying rprA (RpoS regulator RNA A) increased the translation of RpoS.
Source: RNAcentral